GUGUGUUAGUGGAAGCGUCUGGAAAGGCGCGCGAUACAGGGUGACAGCCCCGUACACAAAAAUGCACAUGCUGUGAGCUCGAUGAGUAGGGCGGGACACGUGGUAUCCUGUCUGAAUAUGGGGGGACCAUCCUCCAAGGCUAAAUACUCCUGACUGACCGAUAGUGAACCAGUACCGUGAGGGAAAGGCGAAAAGAACCCCGGCGAGGGGAGUGAAAAAGAACCUGAAACCGUGUACGUACAAGCAGUGGGAGCACGCUUAGGCGUGUGACUGCGUACCUUUUGUAUAAUGGGUCAGCGACUUAUAUUCUGUAGCAAGGUUAACCGAAUAGGGGAGCCGAAGGGAAACCGAGUCUUAACUGGGCGUUAAGUUGCAGGGUAUAGACCCGAAACCCGGUGAUCUAGCCAUGGGCAGGUUGAAGGUUGGGUAACACUAACUGGAGGACCGAACCGACUAAUGUUGAAAAAUUAGCGGAUGACUUGUGGCUGGGGGUGAAAGGCCAAUCAAACCGGGAGAUAGCUGGUUCUCCCCGAAAGCUAUUUAGGUAGCGCCUCGUGAAUUCAUCUCCGGGGGUAGAGCACUGUUUCGGCAAGGGGGUCAUCCCGACUUACCAACCCGAUGCAAACUGCGAAUACCGGAGAAUGUUAUCACGGGAGACACACGGCGGGUGCUAACGUCCGUCGUGAAGAGGGAAACAACCCAGACCGCCAGCUAAGGUCCCAAAGUCAUGGUUAAGUGGGAAACGAUGUGGGAAGGCCCAGACAGCCAGGAUGUUGGCUUAGAAGCAGCCAUCAUUUAAAGAAAGCGUAAUAGCUCACUGGUCGAGUCGGCCUGCGCGGAAGAUGUAACGGGGCUAAACCAUGCACCGAAGCUGCGGCAGCGACGCUGAUGCGUUGUUGGGUAGGGGAGCGUUCUGUAAGCCUGCGAAGGUGUGCUGUGAGGCAUGCUGGAGGUAUCAGAAGUGCGAAUGCUGACAUAAGUAACGAUAAAGCGGGUGAAAAGCCCGCUCGCCGGAAGACCAAGGGUUCCUGUCCAACGUUAAUCGGGGCAGGGUGAGUCGACCCCUAAGGCGAGGCCGAAAGGCGUAGUCGAUGGGAAACAGGUUAAUAUUCCUGUACUUGGUGUUACUGCGAAGGGGGGACGGAGAAGGCUAUGUUGGCCGGGCGACGGUUGUCCCGGUUUAAGCGUGUAGGCUGGUUUUCCAGGCAAAUCCGGAAAAUCAAGGCUGAGGCGUGAUGACGAGGCACUACGGUGCUGAAGCAACAAAUGCCCUGCUUCCAGGAAAAGCCUCUAAGCAUCAGGUAACAUCAAAUCGUACCCCAAACCGACACAGGUGGUCAGGUAGAGAAUACCAAGGCGCUUGAGAGAACUCGGGUGAAGGAACUAGGCAAAAUGGUGCCGUAACUUCGGGAGAAGGCACGCUGAUAUGUAGGUGAAGUCCCUCGCGGAUGGAGCUGAAAUCAGUCGAAGAUACCAGCUGGCUGCAACUGUUUAUUAAAAACACAGCACUGUGCAAACACGAAAGUGGACGUAUACGGUGUGACGCCUGCCCGGUGCCGGAAGGUUAAUUGAUGGGGUUAGCGCAAGCGAAGCUCUUGAUCGAAGCCCCGGUAAACGGCGGCCGUAACUAUAACGGUCCUAAGGUAGCGAAAUUCCUUGUCGGGUAAGUUCCGACCUGCACGAAUGGCGUAAUGAUGGCCAGGCUGUCUCCACCCGAGACUCAGUGAAAUUGAACUCGCUGUGAAGAUGCAGUGUACCCGCGGCAAGACGGAAAGACCCCGUGAACCUUUACUAUAGCUUGACACUGAACAUUGAGCCUUGAUGUGUAGGAUAGGUGGGAGGCUUUGAAGUGUGGACGCCAGUCUGCAUGGAGCCGACCUUGAAAUACCACCCUUUAAUGUUUGAUGUUCUAACGUUGACCCGUAAUCCGGGUUGCGGACAGUGUCUGGUGGGUAGUUUGACUGGGGCGGUCUCCUCCUAAAGAGUAACGGAGGAGCACGAAGGUUGGCUAAUCCUGGUCGGACAUCAGGAGGUUAGUGCAAUGGCAUAAGCCAGCUUGACUGCGAGCGUGACGGCGCGAGCAGGUGCGAAAGCAGGUCAUAGUGAUCCGGUGGUUCUGAAUGGAAGGGCCAUCGCUCAACGGAUAAAAGGUACUCCGGGGAUAACAGGCUGAUACCGCCCAAGAGUUCAUAUCGACGGCGGUGUUUGGCACCUCGAUGUCGGCUCAUCACAUCCUGGGGCUGAAGUAGGUCCCAAGGGUAUGGCUGUUCGCCAUUUAAAGUGGUACGCGAGCUGGGUUUAGAACGUCGUGAGACAGUUCGGUCCCUAUCUGCCGUGGGCGCUGGAGAACUGAGGGGGGCUGCUCCUAGUACGAGAGGACCGGAGUGGACGCAUCACUGGUGUUCGGGUUGUCAUGCCAAUGGCACUGCCCGGUAGCUAAAUGCGGAAGAGAUAAGUGCUGAAAGCAUCUAAGCACGAAACUUGCCCCGAGAUGAGUUCU
This 2500-nucleotide ribosomal RNA is filed under the name Escherichia coli O26:H11 str. CVM10026. RNAcentral describes it as "bacterial LSU rRNA". It matches the Rfam family "Bacterial large subunit ribosomal RNA", at positions 324 to 2812 of the family's 2925-position model. The record is from RNAcentral. Lineage: Bacteria; Pseudomonadati; Pseudomonadota; Gammaproteobacteria; Enterobacterales; Enterobacteriaceae.